Molecule: ribosomal RNA, 124 nt
Filed under: Candidatus Equimonas faecalis
Lineage: Bacteria; Pseudomonadati; Bacteroidota; Bacteroidia; Bacteroidales; Bacteroidaceae
Description: partial 16S ribosomal RNA
Rfam family: Bacterial small subunit ribosomal RNA
Source: RNAcentral
ACAAUGAAGAGUUUGAUCCUGGCUCAGGAUGAACGCUAGCUACAGGCUUAACACAUGCAAGUCGAGGGGCAUCGGGAAGAGAGCUUGCUCUCUUUGCCGGCGACCGGCGCACGGGUGCGUAACA